UGGGCGUUAAGUUGCAGGGUAUAGACCCGAAACCCGGUGAUCUAGCCAUGGGCAGGUUGAAGGUUGGGUAACACUAACUGGAGGACCGAACCGACUAAUGUUGAAAAAUUAGCGGAUGACCUGUGGCUGGGGGUGAAAGGCCAAUCAAACCGGGAGAUAGCUGGUUCUCCCCGAAAGCUAUUUAGGUAGCGCCUCGUGAAUUCAUCUCCGGGGGUAGAGCACUGUUUCGGCUAGGGGGCCAUCCCGGCUUACCAACCCGAUGCAAACUGCGAAUACCGGAGAAUGUUAUCACGGGAGACACACGGCGGGUGCUAACGUCCGUCGUGAAGAGGGAAACAACCCAGACCGCCAGCUAAGGUCCCAAAGUCAUGGUUAAGUGGGAAACGAUGUGGGAAGGCCCAGACAGCCAGGAUGUUGGCUUAGAAGCAGCCAUCAUUUAAAGAAAGCGUAAUAGCUCACUGGUCGAGUCGGCCUGCGCGGAAGAUGUAACGGGGCUAAACCAUG
RNAcentral lists this ribosomal RNA (504 nucleotides) under Salmonella enterica subsp. enterica serovar Rubislaw. RNAcentral's name for it is "partial 23S ribosomal RNA". It matches the Rfam family "Bacterial large subunit ribosomal RNA", at positions 689 to 1191 of the family's 2925-position model. Lineage: Bacteria; Pseudomonadati; Pseudomonadota; Gammaproteobacteria; Enterobacterales; Enterobacteriaceae. The record is from RNAcentral. RNAcentral also lists the same sequence under 13 other names.